Molecule: small nuclear RNA, 148 nt
Filed under: Helianthus annuus (common sunflower)
Lineage: Eukaryota; Viridiplantae; Streptophyta; Magnoliopsida; Asterales; Asteraceae
Description: U2 spliceosomal RNA
Rfam family: U2 spliceosomal RNA
About the family: U2 is a small nuclear RNA (snRNA) component of the spliceosome (involved in pre-mRNA splicing). Complementary binding between U2 snRNA (in an area lying towards the 5' end but 3' to hairpin I) and the branchpoint sequence (BPS) of the intron results the bulging out of an unpaired adenosine, on the BPS, which initiates a nucleophilic attack at the intronic 5' splice site, thus starting the first of two transesterification reactions that mediate splicing.
Source: RNAcentral
AUACCUUUCUCGGCCUUUUGGCUAAGAUCAAGUGUAGUAUCUGUUCUUAUCAGUUUAAUAUCUGAUAUGAGGACAAGUUUAGCUUGCUAUUGUGGUCUUUGAGUGUCGUCUUGGCGUUGCACUACUGCUUUGGCCUCGCGCACCUCUC